UAGGGAAUAUUGGUCAAUGGAUGCAAGUCUGAACCAGCCAUGCCGCGUGCAGGAAGAAGGCCUUCUGGGUCGUAAACUGCUUUUACCAGGGGAUAAAAUUCCGAUGCGUCGGAAAUUGAAGGUACCUGGUGAAUAAGCCACGGCUAACUACGUGCCAGCAGCCGCGGUAAUACGUAGGUGGCAAGCGUUGUCCGGAUUUAUUGGGUUUAAAGGGUGCGUAGGCGGUCCUAUAAGUCAGUGCUGAAAUAUCCCGGCUUAACCGGGAGGGUGGCAUUGAUACUGCAGGACUUGAGUAGAGUUGAGGUAAGCGGAAUUGACGGUGUAGCGGUGAAAUGCUUAGAUAUCGUCAAGAACACCUAUUGCGAAGGCAGCUUACUAAGCUCAAACUGACGCUGAGGCACGAAAGUGUGGGGAUCAAAC
Molecule: ribosomal RNA, 420 nt
Filed under: uncultured bacterium
Lineage: Bacteria
Description: bacterial SSU rRNA
Rfam family: Bacterial small subunit ribosomal RNA
Source: RNAcentral